This is a long non-coding RNA of Hippocampus zosterae (dwarf seahorse), 1135 nucleotides long. RefSeq lists it as uncharacterized. Lineage: Eukaryota; Metazoa; Chordata; Actinopteri; Syngnathiformes; Syngnathidae. The transcript has 7 exons. The record is from RefSeq and is a predicted model, not a curated record.
CCCAUCUCGAAACGGAAAGGACCCCGCUUUAUAAAACUUCGAAAGCAGGGCGUUCUGCCUUUCUUCUCUUCCCGAAAACGAACGAGUGACUGCAUACCACGGCCACCCAGAUUUCCACAUUUGUCACGGACGCAGUGUACUCUCAAGAGAGCGACAAUGAUCGUAAUGAUUCACGCAGAUUUCAUGACGGCUAUGCUUUUCUAUUCAAGAAUGCCGCUUCGGAGAUGGGUGACCAAAUCUUUGGCCGCUGGAUGUAAUACUCAACCAUAAUGCUAGAACUCCUGUAUGCAGCUGGGUGUUAAUGGUGUCGUGGCCUGCAGUAAAUGUUGCCAAGUCACGUGAUCAAAACUCAGCAUUAUGGGUACAUUGGGCAGCAGGGCAACAAAAAUGUUCCUUUACUAUUGAGUAUAUGCUCUCAUCGGCCUUCAAAAAUGAACAUUCAAAUUACUCAAGUGUUGUGGGACACAUCUCAGUCUGAUAAAAGAUCUUAAAAGUUAGCAGUUUAUGCACGAAAUAUAAAAUCCCUGAAUGCACGCACUAUAACAUUGAAAUUUCAUACAAUAAAUGCAAACAUCUGCAACUGUAUUUACUUUAAGGCUUAAGAAAUGGUCACUUGGCAAGAACAAAGUUUUGCAUAUCACCCCACCAAACUCGGUUUUCUUUUUUCAAUUACGGUAAUCGCCUUUGGUUGACAAAUGGACCUAUUUGAACCUCACGAAGUUCAACUAAAUAUUUUGUCGGGUUACUCACAAAAGCAAUAGUCGAGGUGGCUGCAGUUUAUCCUAAGACUUUUUAAACUAAACACCUCACAAUUUACUUGAUUAAUGCCAACGGAGUCUAUUUAAAAAGGUUGCGUACCCUUGCCCUUAUGCCCUCGUGUACCCACAUUGCUUUGCAUUUGAUUGCACAGAUUGGCGAAUUCAUACUGGGUGCAGUCAUGUUUAUGGUGUCCAAGUGGCUGCAAUGUGGCAGGUGCCUCUGCGAGCCGAUUGUGAGGUGUUCAACUUGAUGGCUUUCAUGCACACUCCAGUUGAUUUGAAAAGGUGCUGAAGCAAAUUUUGGAAGGUUUUGUUGAAGCUGCCAUCUUGUCUACUGUUGAAUGGAUCUUGUAAUCAAAUAAAAUGGAUGAAUCUGA